This 837-nucleotide ribosomal RNA is filed under the name Passiflora ampullacea. RNAcentral describes it as "eukaryotic LSU rRNA". The stretch from base 269 to 424 matches the Rfam family "5.8S ribosomal RNA". The record is from RNAcentral. Lineage: Eukaryota; Viridiplantae; Streptophyta; Magnoliopsida; Malpighiales; Passifloraceae.
CGAACAAGGUUUCCGUAGGUGAACCUGCGGAAGGAUCAUUGUCGAAACCUGCAAAGCAGAACGACCCGCGAACCGUGCGAAAAUCACGGCGGGGCGCGGGGGAGCCGCGGGCACGUCCCGGGCUCUCCCCCGGACCCCGCCCCACGAAACAAAACCCCGGCGCGACACGCGCCAAGGAAUCGAAAACGAAAAGACAGGGAACGGGCGGCCCGUCGGGCGCCGGGAACGGAAUCCCCGCGGGCGGUCCCUUUCCUUUCGGAAACAAAACGACUCUCGGCAACGGAUAUCUCGGCUCUCGCAUCGAUGAAGAACGUAGCGAAAUGCGAUACUUGGUGUGAAUUGCAGAAUCCCGUGAACCAUCGAGUCUUUGAACGCAAGUUGCGCCCGAAGCCUUCGGGCCGAGGGCACGUCUGCCUGGGUGUCAUGCAUCGUCGCCCCCCCAAUCCUCCGGGGUACGGGGCGGGCGGAGACUGGUCUCCCGUGCGCUCCCGCUCGCGGCUGGCCGAAAUACGAGUUGUUGGCGGCCGAGAGCGCCACGGCAAGCGGUGGUUGUCGAGACCUUCGGAGAUUGCCGUCGGCGAGGCCGUCGCGAGGCUCCGGGACCCUGUUUUCUACCCACAGCGACCCCAGUCAGGCGGAUUACCCGCUGAGUUUAGCAUAUCAAUAAGCGGAGGAAAAGAAACUUACCAGGAUUCCCUAGUACGGCGAGCGAACCGGGAAAGCCAAGCUUGAAAUCGGGCCCCCCGGGUCGAUUGUAUCUGAAAAGGUCUCAGCGCGGACGGGCCAGUCCUGGAGGGGCGCGGAAGGGAAGCCCUCGGUCGACUGCGACACAGGGGU